AAUUGAUAUUAUCGUUACUAGCACAAAUCUUGUUAUUCUACGUCUCAUCUUUCGUAACUUGUAAAUGAGGUAUUUAUUUAUCGGUAUCAUGGAAGCUUCGAUAAAAAAAUUAACCAAAGUUUGCUUGGUGAGAGGUUUAAUAUUAGCACAAGUCAUAAACGUAAAAAGGAAGAGGGUAUAUGCUGCAAGGAAAUUCCUACAAGACUCCUCCGGUCUUAUAUAAACAUGAAGAGGAAGUUGUGUGCAUGUUCUUCUAUUUGCACUACAAGUGCUCUGCUUGCUCCAUUUGGAACUUGAAGUCCUCUUGCUCCUCUUGGAACUUCAAAUGUUGUUUCUUAACCAUCAUAAAAUUCUUCGGCUGCUUGAGAUGUUUC
This 374-nucleotide small RNA is filed under the name Vigna angularis var. angularis. RNAcentral's name for it is "Non-protein coding transcript". The record is from RNAcentral. Lineage: Eukaryota; Viridiplantae; Streptophyta; Magnoliopsida; Fabales; Fabaceae.